UGGCGGCGUGCUUAACACAUGCAAGUCGAACGAUGAACCUCCUUCGGGAGGGGAUUAGUGGCGAACGGGUGAGUAACACGUGGGCAAUCUGCCCUUCACUCUGGGACAAGCCCUGGAAACGGGGUCUAAUACCGGAUAACACUGCGGAUCGCAUGGUCUGCGGUUGAAAGCUCCGGCGGUGAAGGAUGAGCCCGCGGCCUAUCAGCUUGUUGGUGGGGUGAUGGCCUACCAAGGCGACGACGGGUAGCCGGCCUGAGAGGGCGACCGGCCACACUGGGACUGAGACACGGCCCAGACUCCUACGGGAGGCAGCAGUGGGGAAUAUUGCACAAUGGGCGAAAGCCUGAUGCAGCGACGCCGCGUGAGGGAUGACGGCCUUCGGGUUGUAAACCUCUUUCAGCAGGGAAGAAGCGAAAGUGACGGUACCUGCAGAAGAAGCGCCGGCUAACUACGUGCCAGCAGCCGCGGUAAUACGUAGGGCGCAAGCGUUGUCCGGAAUUAUUGGGCGUAAAGAGCUCGUAGGCGGCUUGUCACGUCGGAUGUGAAAGCCCGGGGCUUAACCCCGGGUCUGCAUUCGAUACGGGCAGGCUAGAGUGUGGU
RNAcentral lists this ribosomal RNA (600 nucleotides) under Streptomyces sp. YIM C393. RNAcentral describes it as "bacterial SSU rRNA". It matches the Rfam family "Bacterial small subunit ribosomal RNA", at positions 37 to 652 of the family's 1533-position model. The record is from RNAcentral. Lineage: Bacteria; Bacillati; Actinomycetota; Actinomycetes; Kitasatosporales; Streptomycetaceae.